AGGAAAUUUAAGAGUUUUAUUAUUGAAGAAUUUUAUUCUUAUUAUGUCUACUAUUUAGGAAUUUUAUUAUGUUUAAUUUAGUAUUCUUGAAUUAGAUUCUAAAAUCCUAUUGUUGUCAUUAGACAAUCUUUGUUAUGACAAUCUUUAUGAAAUCAAUAAUAUCUUGAGAAUUAAUUUUCUCUUCAAGGUUUUGUCCUUGAUUUCUCUUAUUCUUGGUUCUUUUCCUUUGUUCUACAUUAAUUUUACAUGAAAUAUAAUUUCUAAUUUGGUAUCAGAGUUUAAAAUCAAGUCAAAUUUACCAUACUUCACAUUCAAGUCUUCCCAUUUCUUAUAUUCCCACCGGUGUUUUUAUCCUUUGAAAUUUUCUUUGCUGCCUACAGUUUAAAAAAAAAAGUUGAAAACUAGAAGAACCCAGCAACUCGCCGUCAACCGAUUUCUCUUUGCGUUGACUGAACUUCAGUCUGAUGCCCCUAGAGCUUUAACUCGAUGGAUCUAGUGUUUGGAUUAGCUUCCGCACCCAACAAGCUUACCCAGCUUUGUUGUGAGCCUACAAGCAACGGAUUUGGCCCCAGCAACAGCCCAGAUCAGAUAGCCUCAUCAGCUUGUCACUUGAACUCUGCAUCACCUACCAUCACUGCCACAUCAUCACCGCCACAUUAGCAAAAUUUUAAGAGUUUCUUUCCUUGUUAAGAUCGACAUCCUGCAUCUGGUUUUGUAGCUCAUUUUCAGCAGAAACAACUCUUAAAAAUUGAAUUUUGAGUUUUUUUCUUCAAGAAAGGUAUAUUUUCUUACUUCAAAUGUCAUGGAAACUUAUAUUGAAAGGCUAAAAGGGGAGAUCAAUUACUACAAAAAUAUUCUUGAAGAAAUUAAUUAUUACAUUGAAUUUCAUAAAGGUCAAUUACUAUCUCUAUAUCAUUGCUUAGACAAUUAUAACUAUAAAUGUGAUUGUGAAAGGUGUUCUUUCUUAUGCGGUGAAUAUAGAGAGAUCAAACAGAUUUUAAUAAAUAAAGAAAGGGAAUAUUAAGAUUUACAACAAUUCUUAUAAGUCAAGGAAAGAGAGCUUGAGAAAUGCAGCAAAGAACUUGUGAUUUUAAGUUUGAAAGAAUUGAAUGCACAGUUUGAUAAGUUCCCAAAAUUAAAGCUUAAUAAGUUGAAAAAAGUAGAGCUUAACGAAUUAUCAAUAGUUUUGCAAGAAUUUAAAGAAGAAAUUCAAAUUGUAA
RNAcentral lists this unclassified non-coding RNA (1220 nucleotides) under Hevea brasiliensis (rubber tree). Lineage: Eukaryota; Viridiplantae; Streptophyta; Magnoliopsida; Malpighiales; Euphorbiaceae. The record is from RNAcentral.